CUCAAACACAACUUCAGGUCAUUUCCUGGACCUGCUGGCUUUGUUGCCUGGACCCAACUCAGUAGUUUUAUUUUGAAAGGGUGGAGUUUGGGAGCUUCAUCACAUGAUGAAGAUCUUCUUAGAUCUUUCUUGUGGUGCCCAAAAUGCACCAGUCCUCACAUGUUUAAACUCAACUGAGUGUCUAACAUCUCUGCAGGUACCAGAGCCUGGGGAGGAGAGGAGGAGCAGAAGAGGAGGAGGGAUGGCAGCCUAAAGAAGAAGAAAGCAUCUGAUGUCUUUGCCCUCGUCUCUCUUCUGUCCCCCUAAAGACAGACGCCAACCCUCAUCAUCAACCCCCCACACUCUCUCUCUGUGAGCCUCCCAACUCACCUGGACCUGGACCUGGACCUGGACCUGGACCUGGACCUGGACCUGGACCUGUCCUGCUCUUCUGUCUGUCGGAGCUGUUCGUCACACAUUUUAAUGUUUUCAUGAGCAUCGUCUUUGGCUCCAGUGGAUGUUUCCCUCUGCAGAGACACCCGUCCCGUUAGAUCUGCCCCUCUUCCCCCCCCGCCCCCCAGCAUGUGAUCCUCCGUGUCACGCUGUUUGUGUCGCCGUGGUGACGGGUUUGCUUUAGAUGAUGUUUGACUGCAUGACGUUGCUGAUUUGGGUGUUUUGGUGCAUUUUUGUUCCUUUCGUUCUCUUUGGAGCUCCGGUAGAACCGAUCGCCUCGUUUCCUGCGCUUUAAGUGCAUAAACUGUUUGUUUGUGUUGACAUGAUGAGAUAUGGAUGGAGACAGGAUUUAACUUUUAGAGGGAAGAUCAGCUGUUAAAUAUAUAGACAAAGCUCUUCUGUGUAUCAAAGACCGAAAAACUACAUCAGAAUGAAGAAAAAUGUCGUAAAUCAGAUCGCACGUUUAGAUUAUUCUCGACUUUUUUAAACGCUGAUUUCUUUUGCUUUGCACUUGACAAGAGAACAAAGAGGAUUCUAGAAAACACGAGACGAAAAUCAAUAAAGCUUUAAAGGAAAUCAAGUUUAUUUAUGACGUUUCAGCACCUGCUGAUAUGCAGCUGAACAUGUGAUUUAAUCAAAAAUAAAAACAGACACUUUAUCUCUUUGCACUUUAAAACAAACCUGAUCAGAAGUCACCAGGAUGUUAUUGAUAUGUGUUUGGUUGCCAUUAGUAACAGUGACCCCCCCCCUACCUGCCCAGUUUAUCCCUGUCACAGCUUUAAUGGGAUUACUUUAGUCCACAGAGCCUGUGGACUUAUUCUCUGUUUACAUCUGUCCAGCUGGAGCGGCUCUGCUUCACCGUCUAUCAAGUUAUUUAUUGAUUGACAGCGAUGACGACGGAUUCCAAGUCUUAUCAAUAUUAAUCAUGUGACCAGAUGUAAUCAGUGUGUGAACCAAUAAAAACGCAGAGAGUCCUUCAUCUUGUGUGUGUGUGUGUGUGAACCUGAGGUCAGAGGUCAACCUGAG
Molecule: long non-coding RNA, 1458 nt
Organism: Gasterosteus aculeatus aculeatus (three-spined stickleback)
Lineage: Eukaryota; Metazoa; Chordata; Actinopteri; Perciformes; Gasterosteidae
Source: Ensembl